This is a small nuclear RNA of Cercocebus atys (sooty mangabey), 60 nucleotides long. Its record names the gene U7. It matches the Rfam family "U7 small nuclear RNA". From Rfam's summary of the family: Animal histone pre-mRNAs are spliced by a different mechanism than nuclear pre-mRNAs and self-splicing introns. This processing involves the U7 snRNP, which contains only one RNA species: U7. The 5' end of U7 RNA is thought to base-pair to a conserved spacer element downstream of the cleavage site in histone pre-mRNA. Lineage: Eukaryota; Metazoa; Chordata; Mammalia; Primates; Cercopithecidae. The record is from Ensembl.
AAGUGUUACAGCUCUUAGAAUCUGUCUAGCAUGCUUUCUGGCUUUUGCCAGAAAGCCCAU